Long non-coding RNA from Manis javanica (Malayan pangolin), 2150 nucleotides. RefSeq lists it as uncharacterized. NCBI's taxonomy places the organism in Eukaryota, Metazoa, Chordata, Mammalia, Pholidota, Manidae. The record is from RefSeq and is a predicted model, not a curated record.
GCUCAAGUGUCCCAUUGUGUAACCCACUGAUAUUUAAAAUGACCCUCGAAACCAUCCUACAGGAUUAGGAAGAUAAAGUACAUUAAUUUUAGUAAAAGGAGAGAGGAGAGAGAACUCUUGUUGAGGAGCAAAACGAAGAAGAAAGAAACCUGGACAGGAAUCCUGGACGUGUGGGUUCUGGUUCUGACUCCUCCACCAGUGCAAACUUCCUGCGGUGACUUUGUCUCUGCACUUUCCUCUGCUUCAUGAGGGACCUGUGCUAGAUGACACAGACGAAAACUGCCAGCUCCCGAGAUCUAAGGGAACAUUCGGAGGCUUUCAAAGAGGUAAAGACAUCAAGACUAAACAAAUCUAAGAGCAGAGCUGGGAUUUAAACGCAUUUCGGUGACUCUAAAGCUUAACCUCGUAUCUACCCUCCUAUACUUUCCCAGGGGAUAAUAUGGAUCAAAUAAGAGGUUUGGAUUAGAUAAACUACAGACUCAGCAACCAGGAAUGGAGGUGGUCUUCUGUUUUGUCGAUAGUAAAGUGAGGCAAAGCACGCUAGAAUGACUGUCCUCACAAUAUGAGAACUCAGAAGCCCUGGCUGAGAAUGGGUGGGCUCCGUUCUGCAGUGGCUGAUCUACAGGAGCUCUUCUGCAUCUUCCAGCAUACAGCGGCCUUGGCCACAGAGCUAAAUCAGCGACUCUGGGGCUGCCUUGUUCUGGGUCUCACAGCUGGAGCGAGUUGUUAAACCCAGACAUUAUUAAAAUUCAGUGAUAUAAACUUAAAUGAAAUGAAUUAAAUGUAAAAUGAACUAGCAUAUACUUCAAAAAGUAUCUUCUCCUAAUCAUUACGUCUUUUUACUACUGUUAUCUAUGUUUUUAAGGUUAUUUACAUCAAUCCUACUUUGAAUGGUGGAAAGAAGAUAAAAUGGUGUGCUACUGUAUAUCACUUCCCAGCUCCUCAUUCAGUGAUUAGCAGCUUGCAAUCAGCCAAGGAAAGAGUAUUUACACUACAGAAAUUAGCAAACAGUACAAAUUAGUGUUGGACCUCCCCCGAAGCUGGUUAAACAUUUACCAGCACAGCGCUGGCUCAAACCAGCAAGUAUAAUCUGGGUCUCUUGCAAUCACUCUCAAAGAGAAAAGAGCAUAACUACCAUCCCACGGCAUGUAAGUCAGGGGCCCAUGAAGAAACAGACUGGGAGACAUGGCCUUCUUAUCCUCUGUUUCCUUAACCAGAAUAAAAUAAUUCUGAGUGGUUGGCACACAGCCAUGGACCUCUCAUGUUCAAUUCUUCAUCCCUGUUUGCAAGAGCUAAUUACAGUGAGGGGGUGUGCAAAGCAACAGUUCUUUGUGUUCAGAGUGAAAUAAUGGCUUAGUCACCCCUGAGAGUAUCAAGGCUCUGUACUUUUCCUCAGAACAGUGAGCACAAAUCCCAAUCUGAUGGCAUGUGACUUUUUCUUCUUCUAAAUGAAUCAGACUUUAUGAAUAGAAAUUUACUUUUCCUCCACCCGCUCAGGCCCAGCCAUGCCAGGUAGCAUAUUUUCUGUUUUUCUAGUUGAGUUGACUCACCAAUAGUUUUAGAAGCCUCUUGGUUCCCAUGUUUAGUUCUGAUAACAUCAGAGGGAGUUGGAAUCCUUGCUUUGCAAACUCACUGAUUAUAUAGCAUACAUUUGAUUCUGUUUUUGUGGAGAGAAAACAAAACCCACUCCUAAAACAGAGCUAAGCCCUGGGUUUGGGAAGGGAAUCUUCUCUUUUCAGACUUCUGGGACAAAACUAGACCAGUGAGCUGACCUGACUGCGGUUCCAAUGCCCUCUCCUAACCCCAGGACAAGGCAGGGUGGGUCUGAGCUGCGUACCAGGCCACCUUUCGACAAAAUUUAGGACCAAAAGGGUUCAGGCCUCAAAACCCUUAACACUGACAGACAUUGGUGCUCCCCAAAUCAUAGGUAAUUCAAAAUAAAAUUUCCAGUAACACAAAACCUAUGUGGAGGGCAGAGUAGUAUCUUGCAUAAGUCUGUAGAUUCUAGAGCCAGACUGCUUAGGUUUGAACCCUGGCUUUCCCAUUUAACCGUAUUGUGACAUUGGGCAACUUAAAAUCUGUGUCUCAACAGUAUAGCACAGAGAAGACAAGUAGUGACUCUGUGGCAUCUUACUACACUGAUAGACAGU